CCCAAACCCCUAACCCCCGAAAAAAUGGCGGCGCCGCCGGCACACCUCCGCCGCCUCCUCCUGCCGCACCUCCGCCGCAACCGCCUCUUCUCCGCCCUCACCGACACCCCUGCCCCGGCCUCAGACGCCAUCCUCUACUCGCUCCGCGGCCUCGCCAAGGACCCGCCCCAGGCGCUGUCCCUCUUCCGGCGCGCGGCGGCCGCGGGCCACCCGCUCGGCCCCGCGGCGUACAACCUCAUGCUGCGCACGCUCGCCUCCACCCCGGCCGCCGCGCAGGCCCACUUCUGGCCCUUCCUCCGCGACAUGGACGCCGCCGGCCACUCCGUCGACCAGGGCACCUACCUCGCCGCCCUCGCCUCCUUCAAGCGCGCCAGCCUAGCCACCGACUACGCCACCCUCUCCGCGCGCCUCGCCAAGUCCCGGGCCGACCACGCCGCCGCCGGCGGCACCCCCCUCACCGCCCUCGCCGACGCCGUCCGCGGGCUCGACCUCGACCAGGCGGGGUCGGACGAGGAGCUCGAGGAGAAGCUGGAGGGCGUCGCCGAGCAGCUGCUGCCGCUGACCGAGGCGACCGUGGCCGGGGUGCUGCGGGAGGCGCGGGACGUCCCGGCCAAGGCGCUCGCUUUCUUCCGGUGGGCUGGCCGGCAGAGGGGGUACGAGCACGGGUCCGUUGCCUACAACGCGAUGGCGAGGGUGCUCGGCCGGGAGGAGUCACAGCGGGAGUUCUGGGAGCUGGUGCAGGAGAUGAAGGCCGGCGAGCUGCACAUCGACAUCGACACCUACAUGAAGCUCUCCCGGCAGUUCCAGAAGCGCCACAUGAUGACCGAGGCCGUCGAGCUCUACGAGCUCAUGAUGGACGGCCCCUACAAGCCCGCGCAGCAGGACGGGCCGCUGCUCCUCCGGCGCAUCGCCAUGGGGCCGGAGCCCGACCUUGAGCUGGUCUACCGCGUCGUGAGGAAGUUCGAGGCCGUCUACGAGUUCAAGACCAAGCACGUGUUUGACGGGAUCCACAGGGCGCUCACCAGCAAUGGCAGGUUUGAGGAGGCCGCGGAGAUCGUGGAGAGGAUGAGAGCCGCUGGCCACCAGCCGGACAACAUCACGUAUAGCCAGCUGGUCUUUGGGCUGUGCAAGGCCGCCAAGUGCGAUGAAGCUCGCCAGGUGCUCGAUGAAAUGGAGGCUGAGGGUUGCACGCCGGACUUGAAGACCUGGACCAUGUUGAUCCAAGGGAACUGUGCGGCUGGGGAGGUGGACAAGGCUCUGCAGUACUUGACAGAGAUGAUCGGGAAGGACUUGGAGGCGGACGCCGAUUUGCUGGAUGUCAUGGUGAAAGGUCUGUGCAGACAGGACAAGAUUGACGCGGCUUACACUUUGUUUGUUGAGAUGGUGGACACUGCCAAGUUGACCCCCUGGCAAGGCACUUACAAGCAUAUCAUUGCCGAGUUGCUGAGGGUGAAGAAACUCGAGGAGGCACUGGGCCUUCUUAAAUCAAUGAAAGCCCAGAAGUUCCCACCUUUUGCAGACCCCUUCCCUUCAAACAUCGCUGAAUACGGGACGCUUGAAGAUGCCAGGGACUUUCUCAAGGCCUUGAAAGGAUCGUCUAAUAACUAUCCGCAGCCCCCUAUCUAUGUGCAGAUGUUCAAGGCAUUCUUUGCGGAGGGGAGAUACUCAGAAGCUCAGGAUUUACUCUACAAAUGCCCCAUCCAUAUCCGCAGGCAUCAUGACAUCACCGAGCUGUUUGAACCAAAAAAAGUUCAGGCUACUGCUUGACUGAAGCACAAUAAAUUGUUGGGCACCUCCAAGCAGCACCUCUUAUUUGAACUUUCACACUGGACAAAGCAUGGGCAGAUAAUACCAUGACUAAGGAACUCUGGCUUUCUUAAGAAGAUGGAUACAUGAGACGGAUUUGCCGCACGAUCGGGUGAGAACUGUGCGGGAGACGCUGCCUGGAAGGCAUAUCCGACGCGGUGGCGCUCUGCGGAUCAGGCCAGGGCGCUGGUUUCUUGACGGAGUUCGGCAUAUGAUAGGGACUCGCAACAGAAAGCAGUCAUAUGUUGAUAGGUAGAUAGAUAUGCUCCCACCUCUUAAGAUGCUUCGUGCAUCCCAUGCUCUAGAUCUAUUAUCCGCGGAAUGUUUAUCACAUGGGCAUCUUGAUAAUUUUAUAUAUCCUUUAUUAUACGGAUGGAAAUGUAACAGUUUAUAUAUUCUAGAAAAGCGAGAGCGCUUGGUUGCUGUCAA
Triticum dicoccoides is the source of this 2235-nucleotide RNA transcript. It is a transcript of the gene named pentatricopeptide repeat-containing protein At3g48250, chloroplastic-like, with no coding region annotated. The transcript has 3 exons. Lineage: Eukaryota; Viridiplantae; Streptophyta; Magnoliopsida; Poales; Poaceae. The record is from RefSeq and is a predicted model, not a curated record.